This 162-nucleotide ribosomal RNA is filed under the name uncultured bacterium. Its description in RNAcentral is "partial 16S rRNA". It matches the Rfam family "Bacterial small subunit ribosomal RNA", at positions 355 to 511 of the family's 1533-position model. The record is from RNAcentral.
UAGGGAAUCUUCCACAAUGGGCGAAAGCCUGAUGGAGCAACGCCGCGUGUGUGAUGAAGGCUUCGGUCGUAAAGCACUGUUGUAUGGGAAGAACAGCUAGAAUAGGAAAUGAUUUUAGUUUGACGGUACCAUACCAGAAAGGGACGGCUAAAUACGUGCCAG